This 400-nucleotide ribosomal RNA is filed under the name uncultured bacterium. RNAcentral's name for it is "bacterial SSU rRNA". It matches the Rfam family "Bacterial small subunit ribosomal RNA", at positions 355 to 747 of the family's 1533-position model. The record is from RNAcentral.
UCGAGAAUCUUUCACAAUGGGGGCAACCCUGAUGGAGCGACGCCGCGUGGAGGAUAAGGUCUUCGGAUUGUAAACUCCUGUCAUGCGUGAACAAGGCAGCCGGGCUAAUAACCUGAGCUGAUUGAUGGUAACGCAAGAGGAAGAGACGGCUAACUCUGUGCCAGCAGCCGCGGUAAUACAGAGGUCUCAAGCGUUGUUCGGAAUCACUGGGCGUAAAGGGUGCGUAGGUGGCGUGGUAAGUCAGAUGUGAAAGCCCGGGGCUCAACCUCGGAAUUGCAUCCGAUACUGCCGUGCUAGAGUACUGAAGAGGUGACUAGAAUUCUAGGUGUAGCAGUGAAAUGCGUAGAUAUCUAGAGGAAUACCAAAGGCGUAGGCAGGUCACUGGGCAGUUACUGACACU